UGACCUGUCCAAGACACCAAAGAAAAAAAACUGAGUCACGGGACCUCAACACAGAAACACGUCCUGGGAAGGGCUGUGUGCUAGAGCCAAGGAAGAAGACACUGAUUUGUAGACGGAGUUCUUGAACCAGGAAGGGGAAAUCCCUGGUUACAGAGCCCAGGCUCCCAAACUUUUUGCCACGUGGAGUGUGUCUGUCAGCCAGACUCAGAGCUCCUAGAAGGGAAGACUGGUUUCCCAUGACACCUGCUAGGAUUUCUCAAGGGCACCCGACAGCACAUGGCAGCAGGGCUCCUCUGAAAACUCGAGCGCCCGAUCCCGUGGGAGAGAGCUCUCCGACACGAAGGGACGCGGCCAGUCAGCAUAGAUCGCGACUUAUCAGGGGACGGGCACCGCCUCCUCCCGGUCCACCCUGACGGCCGCUCCAGUCCGCAGUCAUCAGUCGGAGGAGGCAACGCGGGAAAGGUCGGUCUGGAUAAGCUCAAGGAGACCUGGGCUGGGGCUGCCUUAUGGCUGCGUUAUGGAGCUCGGGCCCGAUGCUGAAGCGCGCAGGGAGCCUGUCAGCACACCCAGGGUUUGGACAGAUAAUGUGCGAUGCACCUUGAGGAUGAAUUGAAGGUGAACCCAGGGUCGCCUCAAGGCAGAAAUAAAGAUCAGUCUUACCU
Mustela lutreola (European mink) is the source of this 662-nucleotide long non-coding RNA. RefSeq lists it as uncharacterized. The record is from RefSeq and is a predicted model, not a curated record. The transcript has 3 exons. Lineage: Eukaryota; Metazoa; Chordata; Mammalia; Carnivora; Mustelidae.